CACCAAGACCGCCAACACCAACACCAAUGCCAUCAAUACCAACACCAAGGCCACCGACACCACCACUAAGACCAUCAAAAUCGACACCACUAACAACAGCCACCAAUAAUACGACAAAUACCAUCCAACAAUACCACGACCAGGAGUUUACAAACCGAACCGCUAAGUCAAACCGAACAGAUGAAUCAAACCAAAUCGAGGGAAAAAUCGACUUAUGAUUUGGUUUGAUUAAUUUGGUGUUGGAA
RNAcentral lists this long non-coding RNA (245 nucleotides) under Capsicum annuum. Its description in RNAcentral is "long non-coding RNA (CANN_LNC019585)". Lineage: Eukaryota; Viridiplantae; Streptophyta; Magnoliopsida; Solanales; Solanaceae. The record is from RNAcentral.